This 460-nucleotide ribosomal RNA is filed under the name uncultured bacterium. Its description in RNAcentral is "partial 16S ribosomal RNA". It matches the Rfam family "Bacterial small subunit ribosomal RNA", at positions 338 to 795 of the family's 1533-position model. The record is from RNAcentral.
CCUACGGGUGGCUGCAGUGAGGAAUAUUGGUCAAUGGGCGCGAGCCUGAACCAGCCAAGUAGCGUGAAGGAUGACUGCCCUACGGGUUGUAAACUUCUUUUAUAAAGGAAUAAAGUGAGGCACGUGUGCCUUUUUGUAUGUACUUUAUGAAUAAGGAUCGGCUAACUCCGUUCCAGCAGCCGCGGUAAUACGGAGGAUCCGACCGUUAUCCGGAUUUAUUGGGUUUAAAGGGAGCGUAGAUGGGUUGUUAAGUCAGUUGUGAAAGUUUGCGGCUCAACCGUAAAAUUGCAAUUGAUACUGGCAGACUUGAGUACAGUUGAGGUAGGCGGAAUUCGAGGUGUAGCGGUGAAAUGCGUAGAUAUAACGAAGAACACCGAUUGCGAAGGCAGCUUACUAAACUGCCACUGACAUUGAUGCUCGAAAGUGUGGGUAUCAAACAGGAUUAGAUACCCGGGUAGUC